AUGACGUCAAGUCCUCAUGGCCCUUAUGACCAGGGCUACACACGUGCUACAAUGGUCGGUACAAGAGUUGCGAUACCGUGAGGUGGAGCCAAUCUCAUAAAGCCGGUCUCAGUUCGGAUUGGGAGUCUGCAACUCCGACUCCAUGAAGUUGGAAUCGCUAGUAAUCGCGGAUCAGCAUGCCGCGGUGAAUACGUUCCCGGGCCUU
This 205-nucleotide ribosomal RNA is filed under the name uncultured Geobacter sp. Its description in RNAcentral is "partial 16S ribosomal RNA". It matches the Rfam family "Bacterial small subunit ribosomal RNA", at positions 1179 to 1382 of the family's 1533-position model. Lineage: Bacteria; Pseudomonadati; Thermodesulfobacteriota; Desulfuromonadia; Geobacterales; Geobacteraceae. The record is from RNAcentral.